This 2471-nucleotide long non-coding RNA is filed under the name Equus asinus (donkey). RNAcentral describes it as "lncRNA (ENSEASG00005026427.1)". The record is from RNAcentral. Lineage: Eukaryota; Metazoa; Chordata; Mammalia; Perissodactyla; Equidae.
CCAUAAGUCAAUCAUGGACCUGCCUUUGAAGCUCCUUCUGCUCCUCAGCUCCUGACUCUGUGAACUGUGGUGCCCAUGCACGCUGUCUCGUGUCGGAGAAUGUUAGGUUCCUGUUGCAUGAUUUCUCCCAUGCUCUCACCAAGUUCACCUCUGCUGGGAUUUCAGGAAAUUGGUGCAAGGCCCAUCUCUUAGACAUUGACCAUGACCAUCAGCAAAACCUGGUGGUUCUGUUCUCACAGUCACUCAACAAGAGUAUUUAGUGUAACAGAACUAGAUUUUUAAAAAAGGAGUUAGAAUCGUGUCUUUGUGCAAUGUGUGUAAAGUCCUCAGAUGUAAGGUGCUAUUGAGUCCUACCAUCCCUGUUUUGGAAUGCUUUUCGUGAUUGUUGCUCCAUUUUGUGAUGUGCAGGGAGACUGCUUGCUUAGUUGUGGCUGUCACUUUGAGCUGUGCACAUAGGAGUCCAAUUUUGACAUAUCUAAAAUACAAUUUUUAGCUCUUUUUCAAGCCAGGUCUUGAGCAGUUUUCUUGGCUGAUGGACCACCUUUCCCUGUCGGGGUGAUUUUAUUGGUUUUAAGUGGGGGAAAUAAUCCAAUGUUAUUUAUUUUUAAAAUGUGUAGAAGAUCCUUCUUGGUGGCUUCUCUUGGCCCUUUCCUCUUGCCCAAACCCUCCACUCUGAAAGGCAGCAAGCAGCCUUCCCUCAGCAGAGGCGCUGGCUGCCGAGGGCCCAGUACCUUGACAGCUUUGGAUCCUCUUCAAAGCCAAAUACACACGUGACUAAAAUCCUUGAAAGUAUAUAGUGUAGCACUAAAUGGAAAUUUGAGUCUUGAGUUUGAUGGUGGAUUUUAAUGUAGUGGGUGAAGGUAUGAAUUCAUGUUUUAUAACUGUAGAGGCAAGUGAGUUUUUACUUUUUAAAAAGUUUUAAGAGGAAAAUUCUAAGUUUCUGUGCAGCAAAGUGGCUAAUUACUCAUUAAACACUAGAAAAGAAUGUCGUGUCUAAAUCCAGAUUGUUCUUCCCUCUGGUACACUUCAGAUUACUCGCCUCGGGUGUAUUGAGGGAUUGUAACCCUGAGUUUUAUCAGCUUUCCUAGUUUUAUUUUAUUUUUGUAAAAUAAAUGAAAAAGAACCAAAAAUGAAUUUGAAAGUUCCAUAGGUAGAUCUUGUCCCUUCUUAAUUUUCCCCCACAAUAAAACAUUUUAGAAGACAUUUCGAAUCCAAAUGUAUUACGACCCUUUAAAGUUUACUGUUUUCUCAGAAGCCGAGCAGCUACAAGGGCCUCAUUUCAGGUGGUACUCUGCGUGUUGUCCACGGACUCGUCUGUACCUGUGCGGUGGGUCUAUGUGACGAUGUCUUAUGUUUGCAAUAUAGAAACCGUGCAGUGCUGUUUUGUAAAUUGACAGUUCUUGUAUAAACUAGUAUUUAUAUACAUUGGCCUCUCUGUAUAACUUUUCAUUUGCUACAUGAAUUGUAAAAUUAAUUAUAAAAUUAUAGUACCUGCUAAAUACAAUUCUGAGGCUUCAUGUCCUUGUCUUUAGUUGAAUAUCAUUCUCUGUUUUGAGGAUGUCCAAUGCUUGCAUGAUGCUAGGUGGUAAUACCACUUUAAAUUAAGCCUUAAUCAGAUGUUAAAUUUGUAAGUUUCAGAGUAUGCAAAAAUAUUAGGCAGAGUGAGUUUAAAAUGUUCCGAUCAAGAUGCUAUUUCAUAAUUCAACAAGUCUUUCCUCUGGGGUUACAAAGGGAAAUGUUCAAUGAUACAGAUCUCUCUCGCUCGCUCGCUCUCUCUCUCGCUCUCUCUCUCGCUCGCGCUCGCUCUCGCUCGCUCUCUCUCUCUCUCGCUCUCUCUCAUCUGGCUUGGCUGUUGCCAUCACUUGAUGAAAUUGGAUCAUUGUGCAUUUUUCUGGCAGUCAGUCAAAAAGACCUGUUCUGAAAGUCUUCAGACUUUUUCAGGGUUAUUUUUAAGUGUUUGAAUUGUUUUCCCUCCAGUCUGAGAUUUAUUCAUGGCUGAUGGAAAGUAUGAUUUGGGCGUCACCUUAUCUGCAAACCUGCUCGUGCUCUGAGCUUUCUUCAGGUAGUGCCACCUGUCAUCGCCUCUGCAUAUGAUUAAGUGGGUUUUUGUUUUUGUAAAAGCAUCUUAAAUUUAGACAGAAAUGGAGGGGACCCAGCUUUCUUUACAAUGCGGAUCUACCUCAGUUAAACAGUUGGGUGCUAUUUACUAAGUUUGUCAAAUUAAUUGGAAAAAGUAACCAAACAGUGAGAUGCAACUCCACACAAAGCUUGAAAUCAUAAUUUCCAUUUAUUUAAUAAUAUUUUUAUUUAUUUUGUGCCUUUUAUGUUGAAUCCUAACGCAUUGAAAAAAAUCACUAUGAAAUUAAAUAUUUUAUAUAGCAGGUGGGGAGCAAAGCCCAUUGGCCGUGGAAUUUGAUAGAUUUCCCCCAGCCAACUACUGACAUGUAUUGGAAUCCCAACUGCCCUCUUGU